RNAcentral lists this ribosomal RNA (113 nucleotides) under Dipodomys ordii (Ord's kangaroo rat). Lineage: Eukaryota; Metazoa; Chordata; Mammalia; Rodentia; Heteromyidae. The record is from RNAcentral.
GCCACCGGCCAUACCACCCUGAACACCCCUGACCCUAUCUGCUCUCAGAAGCAGUCGGGUCAGGUAUGGUUAGUCCUUGACAGGGAGAAAGCGAGGCACCAGGGUUGGAGGGC